RNAcentral lists this ribosomal RNA (418 nucleotides) under uncultured bacterium. RNAcentral describes it as "bacterial SSU rRNA". It matches the Rfam family "Bacterial small subunit ribosomal RNA", at positions 958 to 1392 of the family's 1533-position model. The record is from RNAcentral.
AACGCGAAGAACCUUACCUAGGCUUGACAUGCACUGGAAACUCCCAGAGAUGGGAGCCCCCGAAAGGGCCGGUGCACAGGUGCUGCAUGGCUGUCGUCAGCUCGUGUCGUGAGAUGUUGGGUUAAGUCCCGCAACGAGCGCAACCCUUACUGCCAGUUAGGAUGUCUGGCGGGACUGCCGGGAGAAACCCGGAGGAAGGCGGGGAUGACGUCAAGUCAGCACGGCCCUUACGCCUAGGGCUACACACACGCUACAAUGGCCGCGACAACGCGCAGCAAACCCGCGAGGGGGAGCGAAUCGCAUCAAACGCGGUCUCAGUUCGGAUUGCAGGCUGCAACUCGCCUGCAUGAAGUCGGAGUUGCUAGUAACCGCUGGUCAGCACACAGCGGUGAAUAUGUUCCCGGGUCUGUACACACCG